UUUCGGGGGGAGCGGCGGACGGGUUAGUAACGCGUGGGAACAUACCCUUUUCUACGGAAUAGCCUUUGGAAACGAAGAGUAAUACCGUAUACGCCCUUUUGGGGAAAGAUUUAUCGGUGAAGGAUUGGCCCGCGUUAGAUUAGAUAGUUGGUGGGGUAAUGGCCUACCAAGUCUACGAUCUAUAGCUGGUUUGAGAGGAUGAUCAGCAACACUGGGACUGAGACACGGCCCAGACUCCUACGGGAGGCAGCAGUGGGGAAUCUUAGACAAUGGGCGCAAGCCUGAUCUAGCGAUGCCGCGUGAGUGAAGAAGGCCUUAGGGUCGUAAAACUCUUUCGCCUGUGAUGAUAAUGACAGUAGCAGGUAAAGAAACCCCAGCUAACUCCGUGCCAGCAGCCGCGGUAAUACGGAGGGGGUUAGCGUUGUUCGGAAUUACUGGGCGUAAAGCGUACGUAGGCGGAUUAGUAAGUUAGGGGUGAAAUCCCGGGGCUCAACCCCGGAACUGCCUCUAAAACUGCUAGUCUUGAGGUCGAGAGAGGUGAGUGGAAUUCCGAGUGUAGAGGUGAAAUUCGUAGAUAUUCGGAGGAACAUCAGUGGCGAAGGCGGCUCACUGGCUCGAUACUGACGCUGAGGUACGAAAGUGUGGGGAGCAAACAGGAUUAGAUACCCUGGUAGUCCACACCGUAA
This 686-nucleotide ribosomal RNA is filed under the name uncultured bacterium. RNAcentral describes it as "bacterial SSU rRNA". It matches the Rfam family "Bacterial small subunit ribosomal RNA", at positions 84 to 805 of the family's 1533-position model. The record is from RNAcentral.